GACAGAGGGUGCAAACGUUGUUCGGAAUUACUGGGCGUAAAGCGCGUAUAGACGACCCUGCAAGUCGGAUGUGAAAUCCCACGGCUCAACCAUGGAAGUGCAUUCGAAACUGCAGAGCUAAAGUCCUGGAAAGGAAGGUGGAAUGCUUGGUGUAAAAAUGAAAUUCGUAGAUAUCAAGCGGAACACCGGUGGCGAAGGCGGCCUUCUGGACAGAGACUGACGCUGAGACGCGAAAGCGUGGGGAGCAAACAGG
This 253-nucleotide ribosomal RNA is filed under the name uncultured bacterium. RNAcentral's name for it is "partial 16S ribosomal RNA". It matches the Rfam family "Bacterial small subunit ribosomal RNA", at positions 524 to 776 of the family's 1533-position model. The record is from RNAcentral.